UGUCGUUCCUUUGGAAGAACAUUGACAUGACUCUGGAUUGAAACCCUGCUUACUGCCUACAUUUUUACUUCUAAGGUAAAUGAAUAAGGUUCUGUGUCAAAGAGAGGCACAAUUGUGGACUUCUGUUUCGGUUCUCCAAAGACCCUUGGUGUAAUCUUUAAAGUGUUCCUCCUUGUAUGUGUUUACCCUGAAGGAAAGGCCACCAUUUGAAAAUGCUCUGAAGGAUCAUUUUGCUGUAAGUGCUUGCUGUAUCAAUGGAUUAUUUUGUUUUACAGUAGUACCUAAAAUGUGCAUAGGAACUUGAAAUAAAUCCUAAUGUUUACAGUUGAGAAAUAAAAGGAAGAAUAAGAUAACACCUAUAUUUCGGUGUUCUUAUAUUAGAUAUACUGUGAAGAAGGAACUCCGAGGAAGAGAAGGUAACCAGUUGCUUGCAGCUGACUGGGUAUACCAAGAAAUUAUAAAAAGCUUCAAAGAGGGAAGCAGAAGCUCAUAGCAGAUCUGAUUUAGGAACUAGAAGAUAGCAAAAGUAGCAAGGUAAAAAAUUAUGAGAACUGAGAAAAUAACUCGUUACUAUUUGCUUGCAUAAUGUAGAAAGGAGAUAGCAUUUGGGGUGACAAAGUCAGAUAAUGGCAACUUAGCAACCAUGUUUCUUCUGUAAGACAAAGAUAAAUGGAAGCAUACUGUAAGUGCUGGAGAAAAUAAAGUAUUCAAUAUAUGAGAUCUCUAUUGAAAGAUUUUGGUUAAUAUUGCAUUAAAAGUAAAUUUAAUUUCAUGCAGAUCAUAGGAUUGCUUUCUAAUUUAGAAAGUAACAGUGUUGCAUACUAGAGUAUAUAGUCCACUGCUCUGAGCCUGUAGGCUUUUAUUAACAGAACAAGUAAUUAUAAUAUUUAGAUUACUGAAAGACAGGGUUGGAAACAGGAAACUGAAACUAGGACUAACUUUGACAACUACGUGAAAGUUAUUUAUUUUUUAGAAAACAUGAGACUGACUUCAGUUUCCAAUAUGACAGAUCACAUUGUAAGAUUCAAGGUGUGAAGCAAAUCAUCCUGCAGAUCAUGAGGAAACCACUGCUUUUGUUCCUUCUGUUGAUUUUCCUGCACAUUGCCCGAAUCUCAGUCUGUUUUGAUGGAGUUGUAUGCAUUUGGAUGGUGUCCUAAGUUCUCUUUACUUAUUUUAAAGGUCAGUGAUUAUGUUCUUAAAAACUUGUGAGUGCUGACAUCAUAAGUUGUUCACUUGCAAAUCACAUAAUUCCUGUUAAUUGCUUUUUUGCUGUAGCUGGUAGCAACAAUAUUCUAUGUGAAGGAGACUGAUAAGAAUGUUGGCACCAUGUUUAUUAAUUAUCAUUUUAAUUAGUAAUUACUUUUAUAGGUUAGUUUUCUCUUAUAUGCUGGGAAAUACAGUGGCUACAACUUUAUAGUUGUGAUCCACUCCUACCUAUUAGGUAUAUCUUUUUCAAAACUUUGAAGUUGUAUAUUUACAUGUAGGCUUUAAUUAGUUGGGAG
This 1502-nucleotide long non-coding RNA is filed under the name Coturnix japonica (Japanese quail). RNAcentral describes it as "lncRNA (ENSCJPG00005014659.1)". The record is from RNAcentral. Lineage: Eukaryota; Metazoa; Chordata; Aves; Galliformes; Phasianidae.